This is a long non-coding RNA of Limulus polyphemus (Atlantic horseshoe crab), 1501 nucleotides long. RefSeq lists it as uncharacterized. The record is from RefSeq and is a predicted model, not a curated record. NCBI's taxonomy places the organism in Eukaryota, Metazoa, Arthropoda, Merostomata, Xiphosura, Limulidae. The transcript is spliced from 3 exons.
GUUAUUCUCGUCGACAUUGGAACAGGAUUCAAAACUAAAGGGAGUUCGUCCUCCAGGAUUGCCAUGGUAGAACUUGCCUCUGCAAAGAAGCUGAGAAAGGCCCUGAGUGAUGUCAGUAGUUUAUUGCCUAUGGCAGGGUUCUUUCUAAGUGUGGAGCAGCAUUUGAGAUUCGAAACAAUUUUAGAUGACUGCACUCGACAUACGCAGAGUCGAUUUUCAAUUGGAAGAAGAUACCGAACACAAUAAUAUAUUCAAAUUUGACAGUUCUUCUCAGAAAGUCAUGUCAUCCACGUCAGGAGACUAGUGUUACUAUUCCAGAAGGAAAACACGUUUUACUGUGUAUCUGUUUCUACAUAUGCCUAUUAUGACAGACAUCGUCGAAGAAAAUAGCAUAACAACUUAUCUAGUGCACUGGUCACUUACAGAGGCAAACAUACCUUCAUUAGUCCUAACCUUGAAUGACAGCCUAAGGGUAAGAUUAGCGCUGUUCACAACUGGGUGCUGCACUGCCACUUACAGAGGCAAACAUACCUUCAUUAGUCCUGACCUUGAAUGAUAGCCUAAGGGUCCCACUUCUCCAGCCUUAACGAGUUGACGACAUCGAUCAGAGAGGAUACUAUCAGGUCUUCAGAAUAUGGAAUGCUGUUUUCUUUCAUUUUUGAUAUACAAUCUUCAAGAGUUGCUGCAUAUUCGUUUCAAACCUCUUUUACAACAUUACUUUUCAAAUUUUUAGGACUUUUCGUUGGUAACCUCAUAACUUUAAUAUCGCCGGCUCUUUUCUUCCAAAUAAUGUUUAUUCAAAAUUAUAGUUACGUUUGAAUCAUUAUCCUGUUGAAACUGAAAAAUAAAUUAAAUUAAACGUCGUUCAUUAGGCUUUGUGUGACGAUUCAGAAUGUUGCUAUACUUCUCUUUGUCCUAAAAAAUAAAACUGUCCCACACAAUUAUAGACUCACUACCGUAUUUAACACUUUAUAUGAACUCCAUUUCUUGAUUUUUUAUCAUUUCAUAGUCACAUUUCCUCACAAAACUAUUUUUAGUCAGUCCAUGACAUAUCAUUCCAUUCGUUUUUCUAACUUUAAUGUACAAAGCUUAAAAACUUGACCAUAUUUACACGUGAAAUACCAUGUUUUUUUUGUCUGCAACUCUUCCAGGUAGACUACUUUCUUAAGUCUGUGACUUAUUCCAACGCCAUGAAUGUCCAGUAUGUCUGAGAAUGUAUUGAAAUAAGUUUGAUGUUAAAAUUACUAGAAUGAUACAAUUUCCCAUCUUGAUAUUCUUCCUGGACAUACAUUUGUAUUCGACUUUAAAUUUCCAGUUGCAGAAAAAAAGCUCAAAUCUUUGUGAAUCGUAUACCUUUACAAAGUUUGAGCAACAUACCAUUGAAUUGUCUUUUAAUUAUGGACAGCACUAUCUUUCUCCAUUUUUCACUGCUUAGUUAUAUAUAUAUUUCCUUAUGUAUCAAUUUUAGCAAUGUUGAAACUUGUAGUCUUUGGAGAGUUGA